AUGCAUUCAUACAAAAUUUCUCAUUAUUCUAAAUUCUAAUAGAUACUUGAAAUAUAUCAUAGUCUUAAAAUUAUUACAUGACAUAAGAAGCACUAUCUCAUUCCAUCAAACGGGCUUCAAAGUUUCAAACUAAUGAUGUUAUUAAGAACCCAUUAAUUAAAAAAUAAAAGAAAAAAGUACCUUCUCUGAAGUUUGUAUAAGCAUAUUUUGAGGGCCGUAGUUCAAAAUAAUAUAAUGGGCUUUACGUUCUCUAACAAACUUUAUUUGAAUUUCAUAGAGUUUAAGACGAAAUAAACAUCUCC
This 302-nucleotide long non-coding RNA is filed under the name Capsella rubella. RNAcentral describes it as "long non-coding RNA (CRUB_LNC001983)". Lineage: Eukaryota; Viridiplantae; Streptophyta; Magnoliopsida; Brassicales; Brassicaceae. The record is from RNAcentral.